GCGGGUCUCUCUCCCCGUCCCCGCGGCGAACCGCUCGGUGAGCGACGGCCCGGUUACCAUUCCACUUUACCGUGGGGGGGUGGGGGCCGUAAAGGCAAAUACAGUCCAUUACAUACAUGCUCUCUGGCAAGAGGACUUAACACAGUUUGCUGUAUACAUUCUUUGGCAAAAGACCCUGUGAGCCAAGCAUCCCCUGAAGGGAACUGAUACUACCCCUUCAAGCAGUAAGGGCUGCACUGAACCAGCAAGACCCCACCCAUGACAAUGAAGACCUGACCUUUACUGCCCACCUGCAAGUACCUACUUACCUUUGUCCCACAUUUUCCUGGUAUAAACCUAGAAGUAUUUUUGGCACUUUGGAGAAAGUCUUUGAGAUGUUAGUCUGCUGUCUUUGUCUUCCAGUGUUGGGCUCACUGAAAUAAAUUCCUUUCUUAUUUCAUCUCCA
Long non-coding RNA from Felis catus (domestic cat), 445 nucleotides. RefSeq lists it as uncharacterized. The record is from RefSeq and is a predicted model, not a curated record. NCBI's taxonomy places the organism in Eukaryota, Metazoa, Chordata, Mammalia, Carnivora, Felidae. The transcript has 3 exons.